AUUGGUCAAUGGGCGCAGGCCUGAACCAGCCAAGUAGCGUGAAGGAUGACUGCCCUAUGGGUNGUAAACUUCUUUUAUAUGGGAANNCCNNNUNCCACGUGUGGAAUUUUGUAUGUACCAUAUGAAUAAGNNNCNGNUAACUCCGUGCCAGCAGCCGCGGUAAUACGGAGGAUCCGAGCGUUAUCCGGAUUUAUUGGGUUUAAAGGGAGCGUAGGUGGACAGUUAAGUCAGUUGUGAAAGUUUGCGGCUCAACCGUAAAAUUGCAGUUGAUACUGGCUGUCUUGAGUACAGUAGAGGUGGGCGGAAUUCGUGGUGUAGCGGUGAAAUGCUUAGAUAUCACGAAGAACUCCGAUUGCGAAGGCAGCUCACUGGACUGCAACUGACACUGAUGCUCGAAAGUGUGGGUAUCAAACAGG
RNAcentral lists this ribosomal RNA (416 nucleotides) under uncultured bacterium. RNAcentral describes it as "partial 16S ribosomal RNA". It matches the Rfam family "Bacterial small subunit ribosomal RNA", at positions 363 to 776 of the family's 1533-position model. The record is from RNAcentral.